CUUCACUUGGUGGAAUCUUACUUGAAGAGUGAUGGUACAGUAUCACCUUGUGGAAGCUUUCCUCUCUUAGCGGUUGUGCAUUGUGUUUGUGGCACCCUCCAUGGAUCAUCUUUUGUGAGCUAUGCCUUCCUUGUGUAAAUUGUUAAACUUCAUGUGUGUCUCUCUUUGUCUCCAAUGUGAGUUUAUCUCAGGACUUCCCAGGUCGAUAUUGAA
RNAcentral lists this long non-coding RNA (213 nucleotides) under Sorghum bicolor (sorghum). RNAcentral describes it as "long non-coding RNA (SBIC_LNC008607)". Lineage: Eukaryota; Viridiplantae; Streptophyta; Magnoliopsida; Poales; Poaceae. The record is from RNAcentral.